UAACCUGCCCAAGAGAUCGGGAUAACACCUGGAAACAGAUGCUAAUACCGGAUAAUAACAGAUGAUGCCUAUCAACUGUUUAAAAGAUGGUUCUGCUAUCACUCUUGGAUGGACCUGCGGUGCAUUAGCUAGUUGGUAGGGUAACGGCCUACCAAGGCGAUGAUGCAUAGCCGAGUUGAGAGACUGAUCGGCCACAUUGGGACUGAGACACGGCCCAAACUCCUACGGGAGGCCAGCAGCG
Molecule: ribosomal RNA, 241 nt
Filed under: uncultured Lactobacillus sp.
Lineage: Bacteria; Bacillati; Bacillota; Bacilli; Lactobacillales; Lactobacillaceae
Description: partial 16S ribosomal RNA
Rfam family: Bacterial small subunit ribosomal RNA
Source: RNAcentral